GAUAACAAUGUGUGGUUGUUGCUGGCCAAUAGAUUUCACAAUGGUGCAGAAGAAUUAGCGGCAGUGACGCAAAGCAAAAGAUUUCAUGUUCUCGCUUAUAGUAUUCCUCUCGAGUGAUACGGCACAGUGGACCUUAUCACCACCUCAGCUAAUUGGGUGGGGCUGUAAACAAAAACAAUCGUACCAUGGCGCUACAAAAAGUAAAAAGAAAUAAACCAGCGGCAUAUCGACCUUUGAGGAUGAGAGAGAUAGAGACUCUCUCUAGAGACUACUAUAAAAGCGCAGCAUCCGAUUCAGAAAAUGCAUACAGUGGCUGAAUUUCAAAACCGACGCAAUAAUAAUCAUCAACAAACAUGGGUAAACUUUUGGUUUAUACUAUUUUUGUCAUUUACGCUUUGAUGAUGGUGAUGGAUUUUGCUGCAGCAUGCCAACCUCAUGAUUCACCGUGUGUUGGAGCAAAUGGAGCGCAAGGAAACUGCUGUGGUGGCAUGCAUUGUCAGAAAAAUGAUCCCAGCUGGAGUGAGGGAAGGUGUUAUUACAACCCUGGAAAAUAAGGAAAAUAUAUGGAUCCAAUAUUUGAGUUAUAUAAAAAUAUAAUUAUUAAAAUAAACCCAUAAAAUUGUUUGUAUUCCAAAAACUCUUUAAAACUCCCCCUGCAAAAAAUUAUACAAAUUUUAAAAAUAUUGAAUUUGUUUGUAAUUUGAUUACGUUCUUAGAAUAUUAUUGUUUUGAAUUAUUUAAAACAUGUCGCGACGACAAGAAUAAACACCACAAAGGUUGUGCAGGGACUUGCAAUAACUAGCAGCUGAAAUGUACACUA
RNAcentral lists this small RNA (820 nucleotides) under Drosophila yakuba. RNAcentral describes it as "GE28692". Lineage: Eukaryota; Metazoa; Arthropoda; Insecta; Diptera; Drosophilidae. The record is from RNAcentral.